This 331-nucleotide ribosomal RNA is filed under the name Oxybelis fulgidus. RNAcentral describes it as "partial 12S ribosomal RNA". The record is from RNAcentral. Lineage: Eukaryota; Metazoa; Chordata; Lepidosauria; Squamata; Colubridae.
GCCAAAUAACUACGAGUAAAGACUUAAAAUUUAAAAGACUUGACGGUACCUCACAACACCCUAGAGGAGCCUGUCCAAUAACCGAUACUCCACGAUUAACCCAACCCCACCUUGCCAACAGUCUAUAUACCGCCGUCGCCAGCCUACCUUAUGAAAGAAACAAAGUAAGCAAAAUAGCCACACACUAACACGACAGGUCGAGGUGUAACUUAUGGGGGGGACAAAGAUGGGCUACAUUUUCUAACACAGAACACACGAAUAAACUAUGAAAAAGAAACUGAAGGCGGAUUUAGCAGUACACAAAGAACAUAAUACUUAGUCGAAACCAACG